Puntigrus tetrazona (Sumatra barb) is the source of this 1862-nucleotide RNA transcript. It is a transcript of the gene named nuclear body protein SP140-like protein, with no coding region annotated. The transcript is spliced from 15 exons. The record is from RefSeq and is a predicted model, not a curated record. Lineage: Eukaryota; Metazoa; Chordata; Actinopteri; Cypriniformes; Cyprinidae.
GUAUUUGGUGAGACAGUUUAAAUUUCAGUUUCAUUUCCAUGUAUCUGAGACAAAUACGGUGCAAGAACGUCUCCUGUAGGCGCUCUUUUGCGCAACAAAGGGGAGGAUUUGUACUACAGUCGGUUCAAAGGAAGAGUGAGGCGGUCGCUGCUGAAAGGUGUGGUUAGGUGGAGUGUGUUUGUAUGUUCAUGAUGAUCUGUGCUUAGAGCGAGGAAACAGACAGCAAGUCAUCAACACAGCAAGAGAAGCGCAGGACAUGGAAGGAGAGUCGGACACAGACACGACCUCUGACUCAAAAUCUGAAUCAGAUUAUGAUUUCGAGAGCAGCACAGAAUCUGACAGUCUGAGCGAGAACGACAGCGCAGGAGGGAACAAGAGGAAACUGAGGCCAUCUUCCCACUGUACGCCCAAGAAGAGAAGAUCUGAUGACUACAGCCAGUAUUUGAAACGACAAAUCGGAAACAAAUCUGAGCUUCCCGUCACAUGUGGAGAUAAAGACGGCAUCCUGCAUGUGGACAUGUAUAACGACUUGAAGAAGUGCAUCUUCAGCGAAGACCAGUGGUUCAAGCCCAGCGAAUUUGAGAGGUUUGGAGGAAAAGAGAGGAGCAAAAAAUGGAAGGCUAGCAUCUUUUGUGAAAAUAUUCCACUCCAGAAACUCAUAGAGGCUGGACUUUUGUCAUCCUUUAAGAAAAGCCAGUCUCCGAAUAAACAGAUCGAUUCUCCUGACUCCUCUGACGCUGACUCUCCUGACUCCUCAACUGUUGCUAACAGACUCAGAAAAGGAAAGAAACAGCUGUUGCCCUCCUGCUCCGAAUCAAACAGCAGGACCAGUGAUGACGAUAACGAUAUCACCGACAUGAGUGCGUUUGAAGGUUCAUUUUUACCUGUCACCUGUGGUUCUGGCUCUGGCAUCCUGCACAAAUAUCGCUUCGCCACAGGGCGUUGUGGGAGAUGCAUAAGAACAAAAGACUUCUGGCUGACACCUGAGGAUUUCAUCAGACUGAACAAGCCAGGUGGAAUGUGGAGAAGAGACAUUUUAUCCAAUGGGAUACCUCUGGGAAAACUUAUAAUGAAAAAAGUUUUGCAACUGCAUAUGAUCGCCUGCGAUUGUAAGAUGUGUAAAGACCAGGACCAGGACCUACAGAACGAUGACGUGUGUCACGUGUGUGACUCUGAGGGAGAUCUCGUGUGUUGUGACGAGUGUCCGCGAGCUUUUCAUUCGCUCUGUCACCUGCCUGCCGUACAAGAAGACUCGUUAGGAAACCAAUGGAGCUGCACUUUUUGUGUGAUGAAGAAGAUGGGAGGCUCCGAUCAAAAGACCACGCGGGACGUUUUGAGCAGUCCGGUCUCUCAGUACACGCUGGUGAUGUUUAUCACUGCCAGUACCUGCUGUUACACCUGCUACACGAGAGCAAGACCAAUGUCCCAGGAUUCAGUCAGAACAUUACUGCUCUGGACAGAAUGAAGAUGAACUUGGCGAAUAAUACUUAUCAAACAGUACAAGCGUUUGUCACAGAUACCGAACUGGUUUUCAACAGCUGGGACACUUCCAGUGAAGACAGCGACUUGAGCAGAAAGGCCUCGAGGCUGAAGGAAGCGUUCAAGAGGGAGUUUGAAACCGUCUUCAAGCUCCUUUAGCAUCAGGCUGUGGGUUGUUUGUUAACACAACUGACAGCUAAAUCAGUAAAUGUACAUCAGCAAAUUAACCCAAAAUUGUCUGAUUUAUAGUGAUAUAUUUCUAAACUGAGAUAGAAUUAAUUUAAACAUGAAAAAUAACAUACUUGAUUUAGUUUUGUCACUUGUUGUAUUUUUUCUUAUUAUUAUUUUUUAAACUUCAAUAAACUAUUUGUUUUGUAUUAAAA